GCCGAUAUGAAGUAUUGUACACUGGCGAAACGAAAGAGGAAGUUAUUUUGAAAAGUUAAGGUCUUUUCCGAAAAUAAGUUUGCAUUUAUAUUUGUACGAUUUGUAUUUUAAGGAAAACAAAGGCAAUUAAGGCGCCAUUUCUUGUUGCUAUGAUGGAUUUUGGGACAACCUACUCCAGAUGGUCUUAUUCGUUUAAACAUGAGUUUGAACUCGACCCAACAAAAGUCGCAACAAAAAGUUUGUAUGGAGACCAGCUGGUUUCAUUAUAAGCACCGACAUGUGUUCUGGUUGAACCCGAUGGGGAAACUCUCUUAGCGUUUGGAUAUGACGCUCAAGCCAAGUACACCAGUCUAGUUGAAGCAGAGGAAAAUGAAAACUGGUACUCAGGAGAUUCAAGAUGAAGCUAUACAAUAAGAUUUCUCAAAGACGACCUUUUAAACGUGAUUGAAGACCGCAUUGCAGGAGCCGCUACCUCGGAGGAAAUUAAUUGGGUGUUGACUGUUCCCGCGAUUUGGGAUGGUGGUGCCAAGCAGUUCAUGAGAGAAGCAGCAGAAAGCGUAAGAUCGCCAUGAUUAAAGUAGUAAUUUCAUUAUUAAUAGUGUUAAACUUAUAAUGUUAGAAUUUGAUGAUGGCGCAAAUGAGGCCACAAGUGUUUCUGAUGCUUAAUGCAAAGCGUAUUGUUAAGCCCUCGAUAAUCUGUUUGUAAAAGGUUAUAGCUAUCUUAGUCGUUUAUAAAUUGCAGAACUCCAAAACUAAAAUUAGAGUCGGUAUCACCCUAAACAACAAACAUUUCGAAAAUGAACCUAACAAUUUCUUUAUAAUACCUAAGAUGGCAAUUACCUUAAUCUUCUAUUUCAACUACUGCAUGUCUGAGCCUUUGACAAUAAAUCGAUUAUUUAAAUGAUAAUGUACGUUUGGAAUUUGUUGUGAAAACUAACUUUUUUGAAAACGGAACAAAAAUUUUAU
This is a long non-coding RNA of Mya arenaria, 966 nucleotides long. RefSeq lists it as uncharacterized. The transcript is spliced from 4 exons. NCBI's taxonomy places the organism in Eukaryota, Metazoa, Mollusca, Bivalvia, Myida, Myidae. The record is from RefSeq and is a predicted model, not a curated record.